RNAcentral lists this transfer RNA (72 nucleotides) under Candidatus Physcosoma equi. Its description in RNAcentral is "tRNA-Gly". It matches the Rfam family "tRNA". Rfam says of the family: Transfer RNA (tRNA) molecules are approximately 80 nucleotides in length. Their secondary structure includes four short double-helical elements and three loops (D, anti-codon, and T loops). Further hydrogen bonds mediate the characteristic L-shaped molecular structure. tRNAs have two regions of fundamental functional importance: the anti-codon, which is responsible for specific mRNA codon recognition, and the 3' end, to which the tRNAs corresponding amino acid is attached (by aminoacyl-tRNA synthetases). tRNAs cope with the degeneracy of the genetic code in two manners: having more than one tRNA (with a specific anti-codon) for a particular amino acid; and 'wobble' base-pairing, i.e. permitting non-standard base-pairing at the 3rd anti-codon position. Lineage: Bacteria; Pseudomonadati; Spirochaetota; Spirochaetia; Spirochaetales; Sphaerochaetaceae. The record is from RNAcentral.
GCGACGGUGGUAUAACGGCUAUUACCUCAGCCUUCCAAGCUGAAGACGCGGGUCCGACUCCCGUCCGUCGCU